AACUUUCUGAAUCCGUGUUUAGAUUUCGUCAGGCACCAAUCCAUCACUGCUGAUCAGACUUCCAAGAUAAGUGAAGUU
Molecule: microRNA precursor, 78 nt
Filed under: Schistosoma haematobium
Lineage: Eukaryota; Metazoa; Platyhelminthes; Trematoda; Strigeidida; Schistosomatidae
Description: mir-3492 microRNA precursor family
Rfam family: mir-3492 microRNA precursor family
Source: Rfam by way of RNAcentral